GACUCUAAAGGGGUGGACCACGAAAAACGUUCGGUCACGAUUCUAAAGGGGGUGACCACGAAAAACGUUCGAUCACGACUCUUAAGCGUGUGACCACGGAAAACGUUCAGUCACGACUCUACGGGGUGUGCCCAGCAGGCCCGUAUCGACGUUUCGUCCGGCCUGGAGAGUUUGGCCGUGGUCUAAUAUGCCCCCAAAAAAACUUUAAAUCCCGAUUUUAUCCAGUGUAUUCUAUUGCCGACCCCGGCGAUACGGCCCAUUGGGCUGUACGGCCUGGAGAGUGUCUCUCCACCCCUCUCCAGCCUCGCUACGGGCCUGGGUCAAGAGUUCAAGCGUAGUCGAUUCCAGCAGUGUUCAAUUGUUCUACUGUUCAGCCGAUAUUAUCUGAAAAAAAUCUGAUAGUGUUCCUGGCAGAUAUUUCAUAAUAAUUUCCAAAAACCAAAUAGCGUCUCAAAAAUUUCCAAGGAAUUAAGACUAUUAAUACUGGCUGAACAGUAACGUUUGAAACACGUUUCGGCGCUUGAAGCGAUAGCCCACCCUCUAGCGCUGAUAAGCAACCAACGUCCGGUAGUUGGCGCUGGUAGGUAAAUUUAAAUUAGUAAGGCACGGGUUAAGUGUAAACCAUAGCUUGGGGUCACAGGUCAAGUGUCAACCCUUGAGGGUGUGCCGCGGUCAUAGGUCAAAUGUCAAGUCUAGUGGGUGUGCCCAGGUCGCAGGUCAAUUGUCAAGCCUAGUGGGUGUGCCCAGGUCAAGUGUCAAGUCUAGUGGGUGUGCCCAGGUCACAGAUCAAGUGUCUAAUUUAGGGGGUGUGCACAGGUCAAAUGUCAACUCUGGGGGCGUGCCCGUUCAUGUGAUCAAGUUUCGACGUUUCUAAAGGGUGUGUUCGUUGUACGUUUUGACACUUUAGCGAAAAACGCCCUCUAGAAACGAAAAAUGCAACAUAGUGCCCAAACUGCCGCUAGGUGACGUUAGCUUGGGCAAUGUGAGACACGUGUGUAAUCAAGCGCCAAGUUCAACUGGUAACACACACACACACACACCACUGCACAAUUCUUGGUUCUGAUUUCAAUGAAUAUGAGAUUUUCAAGUUUGACCCUGUAGCGAAGAGCACUUCAGCGGUCAAGCUCCCAGUUAGGGUUCGUGAUAAUCCAACCGUUUCAUACAAUGAGACAAGUAGCGUUAUCUACAUCAUUGGAGGACGGGAAGUACUAAGUUGAUCUGGAGCAACUCUUCCAUAUGAGGUACUUGAUGCCAGCGUUGUUUAAUUACUUGAAUAUGUUUUUGUUGGUACUGCAUCCCGUGUCGGGAGCAAAACUUACAUUUACGGGCUGAUUGGUCCACGAAAUGCGUUGGAAUUGGACCUGGAAUCAUUCCGUGCUAUGCUCGUGGGACCUCCCACUCUUCCAAAUUUCGCCUUAUUUCCUUCGUCCGUCUUUGAUCGGAGGUAUAUUUACCUAAUGGGAGGAUACGACCCGUGGGACGACGAGGUGCUGGGAGACGGCCUGUACCAAUUUGAUACAGUCACGUUCGAAAACGAGUUCAUCCCUGUGACGAAUUUACCCCUCCUUACUGAACACAAGUCCUAUGUACGAGCUCCCGCCAUGGUCUUUGUCCCCUCGCUGGACAGAAUCUACUUCUUCGGGGGGUGGGAGGUGGAGAAAAAUUUGACCGAGUAUCCGCACAACGAAAUUUUCUAUGUUGACCUUACACCCUUGCGUCUCGUGUAAUGCAGGGUGAAAUGAUAACCCAAAAUAAAAUGUGUACGUUUGAAUUCUAAUUAAACAAUAAUUGACGCCCUAAAUAAAAUUUGAGUAUAACGAGAACUUUGACUUUGAAACAUUAAAAUGCUUCGUUAAAAUUUGUAA
Folsomia candida is the source of this 1865-nucleotide long non-coding RNA. RefSeq lists it as uncharacterized. The transcript is spliced from 3 exons. NCBI's taxonomy places the organism in Eukaryota, Metazoa, Arthropoda, Collembola, Entomobryomorpha, Isotomidae. The record is from RefSeq and is a predicted model, not a curated record.